Impatiens glandulifera is the source of this 453-nucleotide long non-coding RNA. RefSeq lists it as uncharacterized. The transcript has 2 exons. NCBI's taxonomy places the organism in Eukaryota, Viridiplantae, Streptophyta, Magnoliopsida, Ericales, Balsaminaceae. The record is from RefSeq and is a predicted model, not a curated record.
UGAUUUUUAUGGAGAGGAAUUAAGACUUGUGAUUGUUGGCUAUAUACGCCCAGAGGCGAAUUUUCCAUCACUUGAUAGCUUAAUUGAGAAAAUCCAUGAUGAUGGAAGAAUUGCUGAUAGAGCACUUGGACUUCCUUUAUACUCCAAAUACAAGCAAGAUUCAUAUUUAUUGUCAUUGGACAAUGGUAUAGUUAGUAAUCAUCAUAAUAAUGAUGCUAUUUGAUAAAUUUGUCAUUCAAUGAAGAAACUGUCAUACCACCACUCCACUAGGGGUGGCCAUGUAACUCGAAUUUAUCGAAUAAUACGCCUAAACCAACUGAACGUUAUCGAAACAAUCAUUAAUCUGUUUAAACUGAAGUUAAACCGAGCUUUACCAGUUUGGAGUUGGUUUAAACAGGCCAGUCAUUCAACAGACUUUUAAUGCUCCAAAACACCAUUAGUUACUUCUUUUUU